This 453-nucleotide ribosomal RNA is filed under the name Streptococcus cristatus. RNAcentral's name for it is "bacterial SSU rRNA". It matches the Rfam family "Bacterial small subunit ribosomal RNA", at positions 28 to 467 of the family's 1533-position model. The record is from RNAcentral. Lineage: Bacteria; Bacillati; Bacillota; Bacilli; Lactobacillales; Streptococcaceae.
GACGAACGCUGGCGGCGUGCCUAAUACAUGCAAGUAGAACGCUGAAGGGAGAGCUUGCUCUUCUGGAUGAGUUGCGAACGGGUGAGUAACGCGUAGGUAACCUGCCUGGUAGCGGGGGAUAACUAUUGGAAACGAUAGCUAAUACCGCAUAACAUUGACUAUUGCAUGAUAGUCAAUUGAAAGGUGCAAAUGCACCACUACCAGAUGGACCUGCGUUGUAUUAGCUAGUUGGUGGGGUAACGGCUCACCAAGGCGACGAUACAUAGCCGACCUGAGAGGGUGAUCGGCCACACUGGGACUGAGACACGGCCCAGACUCCUACGGGAGGCAGCAGUAGGGAAUCUUCGGCAAUGGACGGAAGUCUGACCGAGCAACGCCGCGUGAGUGAAGAAGGUUUUCGGAUCGUAAAGCUCUGUUGUAAGAGAAGAACGAGUGUGAGAGUGGAAAGUUCAC